CAGCAAUGCAUGUCGGAAUGGUAC
Molecule: non-coding RNA, 24 nt
Filed under: Arabidopsis thaliana (thale cress)
Lineage: Eukaryota; Viridiplantae; Streptophyta; Magnoliopsida; Brassicales; Brassicaceae
Source: RNAcentral